UGGGGAAUUUUGCACAACGGUGGGAACCUUGAUGCAGCGACGCCGCGUGAGGGAUGGAGGCCUUCGGGUUGUGAACCUCUUUCGCUCGUGUGCAAGCCGCUAUUUGGGUAGUGGUGAGUGUAGCGGGUAAAGAAGCGCCGGCUAACUACGUGCCAGCAGCCGCGGUAAUACGUAGGGCGCGUGCGUUGUCCGGAUUUAUUGGGCGUAAAGGGCUUGUAGGCGGUUUGUCGCGCCUGUCGUGUAAUCCUCUGGCUUAACCGGGGGUGUGCGGUGGGUACGGGCAGGCUUGAGUGCGGUAGGGGAGAUUGGAAUUCCUGGUGUAGCGGUGGAAUGCGCAGAUAUCAGGAGGAACACCGGUGGCGAAGGCGGGUCUCUGGGCCGUUACUGACGCUGAGGAGCGAAAGCGUGGGGAGCGAACAGG
This 421-nucleotide ribosomal RNA is filed under the name Fusobacteriota bacterium. RNAcentral describes it as "Fusobacteria bacterium partial 16S ribosomal RNA". It matches the Rfam family "Bacterial small subunit ribosomal RNA", at positions 355 to 776 of the family's 1533-position model. The record is from RNAcentral. Lineage: Bacteria; Fusobacteriati; Fusobacteriota.